RNAcentral lists this ribosomal RNA (442 nucleotides) under ascomycete sp. Hw10. RNAcentral's name for it is "SSU rRNA". It matches the Rfam family "Eukaryotic small subunit ribosomal RNA", at positions 92 to 539 of the family's 1831-position model. Lineage: Eukaryota; Fungi; Ascomycota. The record is from RNAcentral.
AAUGGCUCAUUAAAUCAGUUAUCGUUUAUUUGAUAGUACCUUACUACUUGGAUAACCGUGGUAAUUCUAGAGCUAAUACAUGCUAAAAACCUCGACUUCGGAAGGGGUGUAUUUAUUAGAUAAAAAACCAAUGCCUUCGGGCUCCUUGGUGAUUCAUAAUAACUAAACGAAUCGCAUGGCCUUGCGCCGGCGAUGGUUCAUUCAAAUUUCUGCCCUAUCAACUUUCGAUGGUAGGAUAGUGGCCUACCAUGGUAUCAACGGGUAACGGGGAAUUAGGGUUCUAUUCCGGAGAGGGAGCCUGAGAAACGGCUACCACAUCCAAGGAAGGCAGCAGGCGCGCAAAUUACCCAAUCCCGACACGGGGAGGUAGUGACAAUAAAUACUGAUACAGGGCUCUUUUGGGUCUUGUAAUUGGAAUGAGUACAAUUUAAAUCCCUUAACG